AGUGAGUUGGGUGAGUUGGUUUAAACCAGUUUCCUGCUAAGAAACCGUUCCCAUUAAAAGGAACCGUGGGUUCGAAUCCCACACUCACUGCCA
This 93-nucleotide transfer RNA is filed under the name archaeon. Its description in RNAcentral is "tRNA-Ser". It matches the Rfam family "tRNA". Rfam says of the family: Transfer RNA (tRNA) molecules are approximately 80 nucleotides in length. Their secondary structure includes four short double-helical elements and three loops (D, anti-codon, and T loops). The record is from RNAcentral.